AUUGAACGCUGGCGGCAGGCCUAACACAUGCAAGUCGAGCGGAGCGGCGGACGGGUGAGUAAUGCCUAGGAAUCUGCCUGGUCGUGGGGGAUAACGUCCGGAAACGGGCGCUAAUACCGCAUCCUAUCAGAUGAGCCUAGGUCGGAUUAGCUAGUUGGUGGGGUAAAGGCCUACCAAGGCGACGAUCCCUAGCUGGUCUGAGAGGAUGACCAGCCACACGGGAACUGAGACACGGUCCAGACGCCUACGGGAGGCAGCAGUGGGGAAGAGUGCACAAUGGGAGCAAGCCUGAUGCAGCCAUGCCGCGUGUAUGAAGAAGGCUUUCGGGUUGUAAAGUACUUUCAGCGGGGAGGCGUUACCCGAAGAAGAAGCACCGGCUAACUCCGUGCCAGCAGCCGCGGUAAUUC
Molecule: ribosomal RNA, 407 nt
Filed under: uncultured bacterium
Lineage: Bacteria
Description: partial 16S ribosomal RNA
Rfam family: Bacterial small subunit ribosomal RNA
Source: RNAcentral